AUAGCAAGAAGAAAUAAGAAAGCCUUCCUCAGCGAUCAAUGCAAAGAAAUAGAAGAAAGCAACAGAAUGGGAAAGACUAGAGAUCUCUUCAAGAAAAUUGGAGAUACCAAGGGAACAUUUCAUGCUCACUUGGCAACCAGCAUCUGUAAGCUGCCAGCCUUUCCCCUAGGUUCCUGUCUCCAGAGGCGGAGGCUGGAGCCACUCUGAUCCUCCCAGCACAGGGAGCCCCUGGUAGCAGGAGGGCAAGAGCUGUGAAGCUCCUGGGGCAACCAGCGUCUACUCAGGCAGCCCUGGAGGCCGCAGAGGGUGGGGGGCUGAGGUGGAGAUGAGAGACCAGAGCAGCAGGGGCCUAAGAACCCUCAGCAUCUUCCUUUCAGGCAGCUGCUAUAAAGGACAUGUUUUUCCUUCCUCUCCUCCUCAUACAGUAUUUCAGAGCUCCCGACGCUACCUCCUCUCUGGCCAUAUCCAGCCCCUCUCCAUGCCCUGGUGCCAGGGAAAGGUAUGAGCCAGCAGCAUUACCAUCUGGGCACUGAAGCUUUCUGAGGUGAAACCUGGGACGCUGCUUUCCACAGCAUCUUUUCCUGCCUGUUGAUGUGAUGGAUUGUAUUACUUGAUUUUCAUCUUGCUGCUGGACUGGUUGUUGCCAUCUCUCCCAUCACAACCUCUGCUGCGGCUGCUCUGCUGCCACCUCCUUUGCUCUGUCACCUGCUCCAUGGUCCAGUCUACCCACUUUUGGGUGCACAGGUGGAUGGAUUGCUCAGAUGUUCUGUGGAACUUCGCAAGGCCAGUGUGUUGACUUCUGACCAGCCUCAUCCGAAACCACACCCUUUUACACAUACAUAACCACUCUGAGGUACUGGGCCUCCAGCUUACUCUAGGAGGACAGAGGGCAGAUUAAGUUUGUUUGACAUAACUAGAAGGGGCUGAGCCUCAUCCCAGAAGAGCGAAGUCCAUUCAUGGUAACUACCAUCACCCACCAUUUCUAGGAUAGCAUUUGCUUCUGGUUGCUGAGACAUUGUUUCUUUCAGCAGAAGAAAAUGAGUGGGUUGGUGAUCCAAUACUUCUAUCUCCAAAGAAACAUGGGUGGGUGAUAAAAUCUCAGGGGUUCCCUGAGGUGAGAUUGCUGCUUGCUUUGGCCAUUUCAGAGCUACGUUUACUCUGAAAGAUACUAGCAAAGGUACUGAUGUUUGUGUUUCCUUAGUGGUAUUCAUGCCUCCACAUCAGAGGGAGUGUUCUGGGUGGGGCCCAGGGAUUCUGAGUGAAGGUGAGAAUAGAAGUAGCUUCCUAAAAGUGUAUGGUGUUGUCCCAUUAGACUGUGGUCUGACCAUAAGCACCCAGCCAGUCUGAAUGGUGGCAGGAACAUAAAUAUCCAGAAGCACAGGUAUGGUGCUGCCUUCUCCCAUCAUAUAACCUGUGCUCUGAACUAUGUGCCCCAAGUACUCUUGACAGUAGCCCUUCCAAUCACAGAUAUGAUGCUGGCCCAUCAGACAGCAAAAAGUGUGCUGUGUCCAGAUGGGCAUGAGGUGACUGGUGGAAGGCAGGAACAGCAGUGUCUUCUGGCAUAGGCUUCUCCUGGAGUAACAGAUUUGCUCUGACUGGGUGGGCCCAAGUAUUCAGAUCAGAUGCAAAAAGAGAAGAUGCUAAACACUGGGAUAGUGUUGGCCCUUCCUGUUGCAAAACAUGUGCUCUGUCCAGGUGGGACCCAGGAGUUCUCACUGUAGGUAGGGACAUAAAGACCUCUAAGCAUAGGUGAGGUGCUCACCCUUUCGAUGGCUAUAGACUAUAGGCACAAAAAGAAGUGUCUCCAGCACAGUUAUGGUUCUAUAUCCUUAUCUGCAACAGAUGUACCCUGGCUGGAUGGGUCCCAGGCAAUCUGAACACAUGGAAAGACAGAAGUGUCUUCUGGCACAUGUUCCUUCUCAGUGAUGCUAUCUUAUCCUGUGGUAGCAGGUGGCUGGGGCUGACUCUAGGUGUUCUUAUUGUAGGCAGGAAGGAAAGUGUCUCCCAAGACAGAUUUGCUCUCAGUAGUGCUGGCUUCUCCAAUUGUAACAGGAGUGUAGUAGGCUGACAGGACCCUGGUGCUCAGGUCUAAGCCUUCUUCCCCCAAAUUAGCUGUGGUUCUAGGUGUCCCACUUGGCCUUGCUCCAAAACUGAGUGUCUCAGACAUGGAACUGGGGCCUGGGACAUACACAAUGACCCCAAAGCUGCCACUACCCAUAGGUGCCGAAAAUCCCUUAAAUGCAAAUGGGUCUCAAGGGAUGUUGGCAAAAAGUGAGCCACAGUCCUCAGUACUGUGCAUUCUGGUGGCAGCUCCAGAGCAAGAAAGAAUGAAAUGAGGUGAAGUGCCACCAAAGGCUGGCUUGGUGCCCACAGGGAUGCCAGAGUUGGAACACGGGGUGUCAAACUCCCCAAAGCUGAGUUGUGCUACUUUGGGGUUCCAGGGAUGCAGUAGACACUAAGUGGGAGGAUUAACUGGGGCAGCCAGGUUUCCUAAAGAGACAGAGCUCUUAAAGCUGUCAAGAGGAGGCAAGAAGAUAAUAGACUGGGAAUUGGUUAUGGUAUCCACAUCAAUUUAAUCAGAGUCAAAGACAGGCUUGGAUGCCGUGUCUGAAGAGGUGCUGGUUAUUGGAUUGAGGUGACUGUAGAAUCAGUGGUAGGUGAGCCAGAAAAGACAAGGGACACUGGGGAGAGUGGCCCCUUCUGCUGCCCAUAUAGAUCCCCAGCUAAACAAUGGUUCCUGCCCCAAAGGGAAGGUUGAAAGUUCAGGUAGGGAUGCAGACCAUAAAAGCAGGUGGGCAAGUGGUGACUGGCCUUUGCAGGGCAUAUCUGCUCCAUACUGGGAUAGACCUGGUAAAAUGCCAGGGAGCUCACACAGGAUCCUGAUGGGACCUGAAAAUGAAA
Bubalus bubalis (water buffalo) is the source of this 2901-nucleotide long non-coding RNA. RefSeq lists it as uncharacterized. The transcript is spliced from 3 exons. NCBI's taxonomy places the organism in Eukaryota, Metazoa, Chordata, Mammalia, Artiodactyla, Bovidae. The record is from RefSeq and is a predicted model, not a curated record.